Molecule: long non-coding RNA, 338 nt
Organism: Notothenia coriiceps (black rockcod)
Lineage: Eukaryota; Metazoa; Chordata; Actinopteri; Perciformes; Nototheniidae
Exons: 4
Source: RefSeq, a predicted model, not a curated record
UAGCUGCUCUCUCUCUCUCUCUCUCUCUCUCUCUCUAUCUGUGCCUUCAGCUCUCUCGCCCUGUCAGCCUCUCCUGUCUCUCCACAGCAUUAGCAGAAGUCACAACGACAAAAUGAAUCUUGCGAAAAGACUGAUCGGAGGCAUCAUUGAUGUUGUAAGCAACAUCGAUCCGGCUCAGUUUGUGCCAUCAUCACCUCCUCCUCAACGCAGACCUCUAAACUUCGCUGAGGCUCACGAGAAUGAUGAGGAGAAACAGUUUCGGAGAGUUUUCCAACAGCUGGCUGGAGAUGUGAGUCCAUAAUAUUGCUUAUGUAUGUAUUAUAUUCCUGAAUGCUCUC